AACUUCNUGAUCUGAAAUCAGGUAGGAUUACCCGCUGAACUUAAGCAUAUCAAUAAGCGGAGGAAAAGAAACUAACAAGGAUUCCCCUAGUAACGGCGAGUGAAGCGGGAAAAGCUCAAAUUUUAAAUCGAAUAGGGUACCUUAUUCGAGUUGUAUUUUCAAGAGACGUUUUCGGAUCGCGCCUGGGUAUAAGUCCUUUGGAACAGGGCAUCAUAGAGGGUGAGAAUCCCGUUUAUGACCCGGAGCGGCUGUCUAUGUGAUACGUUUUCAAAGAGUCAGGUUGUUUGGGAAUGCAGCCUAAAAUGGGUGGUAAAUUUCAUCUAAAGCUAAAUAUUGGCGAGAGACCGAUAGCGAACAAGUACCGUGAGGGAAAGAUGAAAAGAACUUUGAAAAGAGAGUUAAACAGUACGUGAAAUUGUUGAAAGGGAAACGUUUGAAAUCAGUCAUGUAAACGAGUAAUCAGCUUGGCUUUUGCCUUGUGCACUUUCUCGUUAGCAGGUCAGCGUCAGUUUUGAUACUAGUCGGAUAAAAAAUUAAGGGAAUGUGGCUCUCUUUUACGAGGGAGUGUUAUAGCCCUGAUUAUAAUACGAUGGUUAAGACUGAGGUCUGCAGCCAAUACCCUUCAUUGGGCUGGAUAUUUCUUUUGCUCAUGGGUAACCGAGCUUAGACAGCUUGCUGACUAGGUUUUGAAUUGCCUGUGACUUCGAUUGAUUUUAUUACAAAUUGGCUUAGGUCGCUGACUUAAUG
RNAcentral lists this ribosomal RNA (747 nucleotides) under Endogone pisiformis. Its description in RNAcentral is "eukaryotic LSU rRNA". It matches the Rfam family "Eukaryotic large subunit ribosomal RNA", at positions 1 to 636 of the family's 3401-position model. The record is from RNAcentral. Lineage: Eukaryota; Fungi; Mucoromycota; Endogonomycetes; Endogonales; Endogonaceae.